Molecule: ribosomal RNA, 301 nt
Filed under: uncultured bacterium
Lineage: Bacteria
Description: partial 16S ribosomal RNA
Rfam family: Bacterial small subunit ribosomal RNA
Source: RNAcentral
CAGUCGCCGCGGUAAUACGGAGGGUGCAAGCGUUAAUCGGAAUUACUGGGCGUAAAGCGCACGCAGGCGGUCUGUCAAGUCGGAUGUGAAAUCCCCGGGCUCAACCCGGGAACUGCAUUCGAAACUGGCAGGCUAGAGUCUUGUAGAGGGGGGUAGAAUUCCAGGUGUAGCGGUGAAAUGCGUAGAGAUCUGGAGGAAUACCGGUGGCGAAGGCGGCCCCCUGGACAAAGACUGACGCUCAGGUGCGAAAGCGUGGGGAGCAAACAGGAUUAGAUACCCCAGUAGUCCCUGUCUAUUAUAC